This 6844-nucleotide long non-coding RNA is filed under the name Prunus dulcis (almond). RNAcentral describes it as "sRNA ncRNA". The record is from RNAcentral. Lineage: Eukaryota; Viridiplantae; Streptophyta; Magnoliopsida; Rosales; Rosaceae.
GCAGAUCAUCAUCUGCUUUUCGCUCAACCAACGGUCAGCUACCAAAUCAAUUAGAUACAUGUGGGAACACUAAUCACUCUUUAUACAUCCUACUACUUGUUCACUCCUCUGCAUUCUUCAUCAAAGCCAGAGGAGGAGAGCUAAACCUCAUCCUUCUUCUGCUUCCCAUCCCAACUCUCCCAAGUUCUUGGGCACUUCCCAAACUUCCAAGUUUGAUUCAAUAUUCAGUAAGUGCAAUUCUCAAGUUCAAAUUCUAUUCUGGGUUGCAUUUAUAUUUUUGAUUCUUUAUGAUGGUUGUGUGCAUGAUGCUAAUUGAUGAUUUGGGCAGAUGGGAUUCUUAUUGGUAAUGUUUGGUCUUAAUUAGAGCCAAUUGUUAUGCAAUUAAGUUAAUGUGGAAUUCUUGAAAGUACGUGGAGGUGAUGCAGAAGUUGAAUAUAGAUUCAGAUCUGUGCUCAAACUGUUGACAUAAUGAUCGACUCAAAUGGCAUUUUUCUCAGGGAAUUUUAGACAUAACAAAGACAUUGAGCUUUUUUUUAAUUCUGUUAAUAAUGUUAAGAUUAAGACUAGUUUGACUUGGUUCUGAUUCUGAUGCAUACCUUUAGGGAAUGCAGUGAUUGCUUUUCCUUCUUUUUUUUCUUGGUGAGAUUUGACCCUAAGGCCUAUCCUUCACCAUAAUUCAAAAAAUCAAGGACACUAUGUUUGCUGAUUUUCUCUUUCCAAAUCAUGCUGUCAGUUCUGCCUACUUACUUGUGGCACUGAUGCCUGCCUAAUGUUGCAAUGCACAUUUGAUUCUCUUAAUCACAGGAUUUGAAGCUUGAAUCAUGGCUGAAGAUCUAGAUAAACCACUGUUGGAUCCUGAGAAUUUCAAUAGAGAUGGUGUCGAUUUGGUAGGUUUAGUUGCAUUACGACAACCACAUUUGGAAUUCAUUCCCUACAAUAGCAUUUUAAGACACUUCGAAUAUAACAGGAACGCUUACCAUUGGAAGAAGUUUUCGAACAACUGAGGACAUCACCGCAAGGACUUUCAUCCGAAGAUGCUGAAGCCAGAUUGAAGAUUUUUGGCUUUAACAAGCUUGAAGAGAAGACGGUAAGCACCACGGUUCCUAAAUAUGUUUAUAAGUUCAGUUUUAGUGUUUAAGACAAGUAGAAUAGUCAAUAUCAGCUUAAAGCUAGAUUGACAGAGUAAUUGCUAUUAAAAGCCCCCUCAUUAAUUUCAAUGCAGGAGAACAAAUUUUUGAAGUUUCUUAGUUUCAUGUGGAACCCCUUGUCAUGGGUUAUGGAAGCUGCAGCAGUGAUGGCACUUGUCCUUGCUAAUGGUGGAGUAAGUAGAGUCUUACACUAAGUAUUCAUUUCCAUUUCAGGGCAAGUCUUACACUAAGUAUUCAUUUCCAUUUCAGGGCAAUGUAAAUUCUGGUUUAUAACUUUAUUCUGUGAUGAAAUGAUAUUUCAGGGCGAAGGUCCUGACUGGCAGGACUUUUUGGGGAUUAUUAUCCUGUUAAUAAUCAAUUCAACAAUUAGUUUCAUAGAGGAGAACAAUGCAGGGAAUGCUGCAUCAGCUCUUAUGGCUCGUUUAGCUCCGAAGACAAGGGUAUGCCCCUUUGGUUGAUGCAUUUGGCACAGAGGAUGUCACCUUUAAGCCCAUAAUAGCAGAUUAGCUCACAUUUCUUUCAUGCAGGUUCUCAGAGAUGGGCGCUGGCAAGAGCAAGAUGCAUCUAUUUUGGUACCAGGAGAUAUAAUCAGCAUAAAGCUGGGGGAUAUCGUUCCAGCUGAUGCUCGCCUACUUGAAGGAGACCCUUUAAAAAUUGACCAGGCAAGUGCUUGAAAAGCCAAUUUUGUUGUCUAACUAUCAGCAGUUAUAUAGCUGUCACUUUCUCCGGGUGACCUGUUUGUUGGCUCAGUGAUAUGAUCCACAGAAUGAAGUAAUGUUUUGUGGAAUUUGUUCCUGCAGUCAGCUCUUACAGGAGAGUCUCUACCUGUCACCAAGAGGACAGGAGAUGAAGUGUUUUCUGGUUCAACAUGUAAGCAGGGAGAGAUUGAAGCUGUAGUGAUAGCAACUGGGGUUCACUCCUUUUUCGGAAAAGCAGCACAUUUAGUUGACUCCACAGAGGUUGUUGGACAUUUCCAGCAGGUAAUUGAGUGCCUAACAUGCUCCUCCUGAUGUUAAUUCUCACAGUGACAUAGUUCAUAAGUUUGAAAUCAUGAGGUGACAUCAGUGACGCGGUUUUCUGCAGGUCCUUACCGCGAUUGGGAACUUCUGCAUUUGCUCUAUAGCUGUGGGAAUGAUUCUUGAAAUCAUUGUCAUGUUCCCCAUACAGCACCGCUCUUACAGGGAUGGGAUCAACAACCUUCUUGUUCUCUUAAUUGGAGGAAUACCGAUUGCUAUGCCAACAGUGUUAUCUGUGACACUUGCAAUUGGUUCUCAUAGACUCUCUCAACAGGUGCAUCUCUAUAUAGUUUAAGUCACAUAACAUUUUGGAAGUCAAAAAAUAUUUAUGCUCCCGCAUAUUAAAAGGGGUACUUUGGAUAUUCAAUGGAAGAAAAAGCCUCCAAUUUUGUGCUUUGUUCUGCAAACAAUAUAGCAUCAAUCCCACAUAUUCAGACUGACAAUGUUUGCAUACCUUUGUUUUUUCUUUAAUUCAGGGUGCCAUUACAAAAAGGAUGACGGCAAUUGAAGAAAUGGCGGGAAUGGAUGUCCUCUGCAGUGACAAAACUGGAACUCUCACCCUUAAUCGCCUCACUGUUGAUCGAAAUCUAGUCGAGGUAUGAAAGCUGACUCCAUAAGAAUUUCUUAAUUCAAACCAUGGAGGCAAAAGUUAAUAUUAAGUGUCAUUGAUAUAUCAUGUUUUGGCCAUAUGGUUUGGCUGAAUAACAUAAAACAUAUGCAUCUUUGCAGGUUUUCAACAAAGACAUAGACAAGGAUGCAGUUAUCUUGUUUGCAGCCAGAGCAGCAAGACUAGAGAAUCAGGAUGCUAUUGAUGCAGCCAUUGUCAAUAUGCUUGCUGAUCCAAAGGAGGUGGGGAUACAAUCCUGCUGUUUUUUUAUUUUUUUUAUUUUAUAUUUAUUCUGUGCUGGUUACUUAUGCAUAAAAAUAUUCUUUCAUCCAUAGGCAAGAGCAAACAUCACAGAAGUGCAUUUUCUACCUUUCAAUCCAGUGGACAAGCGUACUGCAAUUACAUACAUUGAUGCUGAUGGUAACUGGUAUCGGGCCAGCAAAGGAGCUCCGGAACAGGUACUGAUGUAUUCAGAGGGCAAGUACCUUAAAAUUCUGUGAUCCCCUGCAAACAGAAACGUAGUAAACAACACAACUAGGUUUACACUUUAGAAACAAUAGCUGAUCACUUAUGAGAACUAAUGGUGUAUGAGAAAUUCUUUUAUUGUUGCAAUGCCAAAACCUGAAUUUUUUUUCUUUUGUUUUUCUUUUCCAUUCUCAUCCUGAAAUCAGAUUCUAGAUCUAUGCCCCGAGAAAGAUGAGAUUGCUGGAAGAGUGCAUAACAUUAUUGACAAAUUUGCUGAAAGGGGAUUGCGGUCUCUUGGAGUUGCUUAUCAGGUAUGCCAUAGCUAUGCUCUAAUCCUUUUAGUGCGGGUGUGAGAGUUGUAAUGAACUUUAAAAAAAGGAAGAGUUUAAAUUAUCAGUUAGAAGAUAGAAAUCCAAAAUUUAGGUCACAACAGUUUUUCAGCACCAGAUGAAAUUUCUGACAUACUUCAACUCCCAUGUUAUGGUACUGCCAGGAAAUUCCAGAAAAAACUAAAGAAAGCCCUGGAGGUCCUUGGACAUUUUGUGGGUUGUUGCCCUUGUUUGAUCCUCCAAGGCAUGAUAGUGCUGAGACUAUUCGAAGAGCACUUAACCUUGGAGUCUGUGUGAAGAUGAUUACAGGUACAUACAUGUAUCAUCUUGGCCUUACAUAAAAAAUGUGAAUAUCAUCUUUGUUUCUUGAUUAAAACUGUAAAUCAUUUAGCAUAAAUGUCAAAGAUAGACACUGAUUCUUGAAUGCUUGUUCUCACAUUAGGUGAUCAGUUGGCAAUUGCAAAGGAGACAGGGCGACGACUUGGGAUGGGAACAAACAUGUACCCUUCCUCUUCAUUGUUGGGCCGUGACCGUGACAAAGAAGAACACGAAGCUCUUCCAGUGGAUGAGUUGAUUGAGAAGGCUGAUGGCUUUGCUGGAGUCUUCCCUGGUAAAUAAUCGAACACCUGUUUCACGAAAUACAUAAAUUCUCUCCCUAAGGCUCCCUAAUUCUUGAGAGACUUGAAAAUAUGAAAGACAGGUUACUGUUUGGUGGGGUGUGUGUGCAUGAAACAUUUGUAGCACAUAUUUGUUUCAUACAUAUUUCCAUCUCUGGAUCACUCACCUGCCUUAUCACUGCUUUAACUUUCAGAACACAAGUACGAAAUCGUAAAAAUUUUACAAGAAAAGAAGCAUGUGGUUGGAAUGACCGGAGAUGGUGUUAACGAUGCACCUGCUUUAAAGAAAGCAGACAUUGGUAUAGCAGUGGCAGAUGCCACAGAUGCUGCAAGAAGUGCUUCUGACAUAGUCUUAACUGAGCCUGGCUUAAGUGUGAUUGUCAGCGCUGUCCUGACCAGUAGAGCUAUAUUCCAAAGAAUGAAGAAUUAUACAGUGAGUAGUAAUCUUUUCCCUGCAUUCAAAUAAUGGUUCAUUUGUGUCAGUAGAAUACCAGGUAGAGAGCAGCAAAAUCGUAAAGCAGUGCUUACUUCGCCUUUUAAAGAGAAAUUCUGCAAUUUCUACUAUAUAGGAUUUUUACUUGCAUUUUUUGUUUUUAUUUGUAAUUUUAUUCUACGUUUCUACAUUGGUUUGAUGGUAAAACUGACUAGCCUACUUGCAUACACAGAUAUAUGCUGUCUCUAUAACCAUAAGGAUAGUGGUAAGUUUAUAUUCUCAUCAUCUCAAUAUUCAAGUAAUAUUACUACGUUUCAACUUUUCAUAAUGUUAAACUCAAUCAUGUUGCAGCUUGGUUUCGUGCUUCUUGCGUUGAUAUGGGAAUAUGACUUCCCACCUUUCAUGGUUCUGAUUAUAGCAAUACUCAAUGAUGGUAAUAUUUCAACUAGCUCUAGCUUUACUAUUUCUUCUUCUUGAUUAUCGAAAAGGAGUACAUGACUGUGCAUUAUUUUAAAUGCAGGAACCAUCAUGACGAUUUCCCAGGAUCGUGUAAAGCCCUCUCCAAAGCCUGACAGUUGGAAGCUUAAUGAGAUAUUUGCAACUGGCAUUGUCAUUGGCACAUAUCUUGCUUUGGUAACUGUAUUAUUUUACUGGGUUGUAGUCGGCACCGACUUCUUUGAGGUAUGAAACACAGAAAUGUUGCUUCUUGACUUUGUUUUCUGAGACCCUCUGCAACAUGAACAGCAGAAGAUACAUUAGCUUGGUUUACUUCCACAGUGCUUAUUGAUUUUAUAUGACUGCAGACCACCUUCCAUGUAAGAGAUUUAUCCAGCAACAGCGAGGAAAUUUCAUCUGCUAUAUAUCUGCAAGUUAGCAUCAUUAGCCAGGCUCUCAUAUUUGUUACAAGAAGCCAGGGAUGGUCAUUUCUUGAGAGGCCUGGAACUCUCUUGAUGUGCGCAUUUGUGCUGGCUCAACUGGUAUGACUUAUGCAAAUCAACUCUUAAAUAUAUGCAUUAAACUCGAUUUUCAAGGUAACAAAACCAAAGCUGAAUUACAUUUUCAUUUAUUGAAAAAAUAAAUAAAUAAAUUCUCUCAUGUUUAGGUGGCUACUUUGAUUGCUGUAUAUGCAAGAAUCAGCUUUGCUUAUAUCAGUGGCAUUGGAUGGGGAUGGGCUGGUGUCAUAUGGUUGUACAGUUUGAUUUUCUACAUUCCCCUGGAUAUCAUCAAAUUUGCAAUUCGCUACGGCUUGAGUGGAGAUGCCUGGAAUCUAUUGUUUGAUAGGAAGGUUUGUGCAAUGUUCUAAGUUCCAUUAAAAUUUGCUGCUAUCAUUUGUUUCUAUGAGGAACAAGCCCUGGCUUGAAAUGACAACUUCUGAUUUUUAUGUACUUUUUAUUUUUAACAGACGGCUUUCACUUCUAAGAAAGAUUAUGGGAAAGAAGAUAGGGCAGCCAAGUGGGUACUUUCUCAGAGAAGUUUACAAGGGUUGGCAGACAUGGAGAUCAAUAAGACCGGCAAGCGAUCUUCUUUGAUCGCAGAACAGGCCAGGCGGCGUGCUGAAAUAGCCAGGUAAUACAAACUGCCAUUUUCUGUUGCAUUUUUACAGGUUGGAUUUCAUCCCAUCUUGCUAAUAUGUAAUUGGUUAAAUGCCACAUUAAUUUCACAGGCUGGGAGAGAUACACACUCUGAGAGGACAUGUAGAAUCUGUAGUGAGGCUCAAGAAUCUGGACUUAGGUGUUAUUCAAUCAGCCCAUACUGUCUGAAGCCAAUACAUGGAAAUAGUAUCAUUCAAUUUUCCGGUGAAAAGAAACUCAUCAGCAGUUGCACAUGAUUGAUGUUGGGCAUCUGCAAAAGAAAUUGACCUUUGGUUACAACUUAAAAGAGUUUCUGGGGAUGGAAAUAGGUGAUCUAUGUAAUGCUUGUCAAUUCUUUGGGAGCUAAAAGUAAGGAAUGCAUUUUCCUAGUAUUUAUUUCUUGCAAAUUUUCAUAUGUACAAGGGGACCAACUGUUUUUGUGUAAUAAUUAGGAAACUUCAAACUAAUAAACCACCUCAAACAGGGGAAUUUUUCUCUUUUUUGGUGUUUUUUUGGGAUAACAUGUAUGGUUUGCUCUUGCAUAAGAGAAAUACACAUUGAAUUUUGUAGCCACUUCAAUGAAGAUUGUUGCUUCUUUUUUCGGUAAUGUGUCAAAGAUUGAACAUGAGUGAAAAUAUUCUGGGCUUUUUCUUUGGAC